UACCAGCACCCCGAGUGGUCGGGACGUUUAUUGGGCCUAAAGCAUCCGUAGCCGGUUCUACAAGUCUUCCGUUAAAUCCACCUGCUUAACAGAUGGGCUGCGGAAGAUACUAUGGAGCUAGGAGGCGGGAGAGGCAAGCGGUACUCGAUGGGUAGGGGUAAAAUCCGUUGAUCCAUUGAAGACCACCAGUGGCGAAGGCGGCUUGCCAGAACGCGCUUGACGGUGAGGGAUGAAAGCUGGGGGAGCAAACCGG
This 253-nucleotide ribosomal RNA is filed under the name uncultured bacterium. Its description in RNAcentral is "partial 16S ribosomal RNA". It matches the Rfam family "Archaeal small subunit ribosomal RNA", at positions 474 to 727 of the family's 1478-position model. The record is from RNAcentral.